UACAGAGGUCUCAAGCGUUGUCCGGAUUUAUUGGGCGUAAAGAGCUCGUAGGCGGCUUGUCGCGUCGACUGUGAAAACCCGCGGCUCAACUGCGGGCCUGCAGCCGAUACGGGCAGGCUAGAGUUCGGUAGGGGAGACUGGAAUUCCUGGUGUAGCGGUGAAAUGCGUAGAUAUCUGGAGGAACACCGGUGGCGAAGGCGGCAUCCUGGACCGAAACUGACGCUGAGGAGCGAAAGCCAGGGGAGCAAACGGG
This 253-nucleotide ribosomal RNA is filed under the name uncultured bacterium. RNAcentral's name for it is "partial 16S ribosomal RNA". It matches the Rfam family "Bacterial small subunit ribosomal RNA", at positions 524 to 776 of the family's 1533-position model. The record is from RNAcentral.